AAUAUUGCACAAGGGAGGAAACUCUGAUGCAGCGACGCCGCGUGAACGAUGAAGGCCUUCGGGUCGUAAAGUUCUGUCCUUGGGGACGAUAAUGACGGUCCCCAAGGAGGAAGCCCCGGCUAACUACGUGCCAGCAGCCGCGGUAAUACGUAGGGGGCGAGCGUUGUCCGGAAUUAUUGGGCGUAAAGGGUUCGUAGGCGGUCUUUUAAGUCAGAUGUGAAAGGUCACGGCUCAACCGUGGUAAGCAUUUGAAACUGAAAGACUUGAGUUAAGGAGAGGAAAGUGGAAUUCCUAGUGUAGCGGUGAAAUGCGUAGAUAUUAGGAGGAACACCAGUGGCGAAGGCGACUUUCUGGACUGUAACUGACGCUGAGGUACGAAAGCGUGGGUAGCGAAC
Molecule: ribosomal RNA, 395 nt
Filed under: uncultured bacterium
Lineage: Bacteria
Description: partial 16S ribosomal RNA
Rfam family: Bacterial small subunit ribosomal RNA
Source: RNAcentral